Long non-coding RNA from Anguilla anguilla (European eel), 1766 nucleotides. RefSeq lists it as uncharacterized. The record is from RefSeq and is a predicted model, not a curated record. The transcript has 3 exons. Lineage: Eukaryota; Metazoa; Chordata; Actinopteri; Anguilliformes; Anguillidae.
GCGAGGGGAGUUUUAAACAUGCUGACAACAGGUGAUAAAGAUAAAUGGAUGGAGCUCCGUGUUCAUUCAAGGCAUUCCACUCUCUAAAGCUUGCCAUUCCCGUCCCGUUGCAUAUUUAGGCCACCUUCAAGCUCUGAUUGCAGACCCAUUCUGCAUUAACGAUACAUGGGCAAGCAUAGCAGAAUCGUCCAUCGGCUAUUUCCUAAAAGACACGGUGUCAAAGAAAGGCACUGGCUGGCACCAAGACAGCUGAUUUGUCAGCAUAUGAUUGCUUUGUGGAGACAGACGGCAGAGUUGAUUGGAAUGCUGGGACUUGCCACAGCUGCUUUAGAUGCUGCAAAGCUUCCCAAUAUUUGAGGAGACGAGCAAAGCGGCUUCAAACUCGGCUCCACACCUCCUCCAGUGAAGGAUACAUCGAUGUAUGCUAGCGUGGAAGUCUUCAUAUUUCUAGGUGACAUCAUCGUGCUCACACCCAUAGGAACUGAAAGACCGUCCCACAGAAUCUGACACAAUCCAAACUUUAGAAAGUGGAGAUGGCUGAAGAAUUGCAUUUCCCCCAAUUAUGCAAGAUAUUUAGCCAAAUUUGUGUGUGGUUCAGUUGGUUAUCACACAUAGCGUAGUACCCGAAAGCUAGAUUGCCUACAAUGGAUAACAAAAUGUUUGUUUGUUUUUGUGGCUCAUAUCCUACAGACAAAUUCAGUAAUUUAAGACUGGCAAGCAGGUUUAUUUAUUUGUACAUGAACGUUAGAUAAAUGAUCAUGACUCUAAACAUAAAUAAGCAUGGCAUCUACCAUUAUUUCACUGUGUGAAUAUGCACAAAUUAAUUUAUUCAACUAACCGUUUCCAAGGAUGUAGCCUAUUUAUUACCAACGAUUUUGAGUUCAGAUGUUAUAGUGGGAAAUAAUUGUUUUUCAGUGUGAGCACUGAACGUUGGGGAACAAUAACAUAAUAUGAAGAGGCAUCAGUUUCACUAAUCUACGGAAAUGUUUCUGAAUUAGUCUAUGUGAGAUGGAAUGAAGUGGCAAUGUAGGCUGUCACAGUAUGCUAAGUCAAUUAUGCUCAGACAUUGGGCACAUAAGGAUUCUGGAAUUGCAGUAAAUUGUUAUGUUUGUAUACUAUGAGAUGUUUACUUUGAUCUAAUGUUACGAUUACACAUUAUUUCCCGUCUCAGCGCGAAUUACAGUCCCAAUUACUUAUAGGUUACUUGCAGCUUUAAUGGGCUGACCACGUGUAAGAUCUGUGUUUGGCUAUGGGACUAUUUGUAGAGUUGGCAAAAUAUAACGAUCAUGAUAGAGCUAUUUAAUAAAUAGUCGCCGUCACCUUUUAUGAUGGCGAAGCAGAUGAGCUGUCCCAAUUUUCUUCACGCCUCCUCAUCAUUUUCUUUCCUCCACUCUCCUCCUCCCCUCCUUUCCUCAACAUAUUUUCACACAGGAGAUGAGUGAAAGUGGGGAAAAGGAGGUGAGGAGUGAAAAGUAAUGGGAUGCAUCCCCUGAGUAUUCUCUGGGUACUCCGGUUUCCCCCAACAGUCUAAAGACAUGCAGGUUAGGUUAGAGUGUGUGAGUGAAUUGUGUAUGUGCUCUACAAAUAGAUUGGUGACCUGCCUCGGGUGUAUUCCUGCGUCUCACCCAAUGCAUGCUGGGAUAGGUUCCAGUACCCCCCGCGACCCUGAACAGGAAUAAUUGGGUUAAUUGACUAAUUGUUUGAUUUCAAAUCCAAAGUUGUGGAGUACAGAGCCAAAUCAAAAAUUGUCCCAAACAUUAUGUAUA